GUGGGGAAUAUUGGACAAUGGGCGCAAGCCUGAUCCAGCAAUGCCGCGUGUGUGAAGAAGGCCCUCGGGUUGUAAAGCACUUUUAUCAGGAGCGAAAUCUGCAGAGUUAAUACCUCUGUAGUCUGACGGUACCUGAGGAAUAAGCACCGGCUAACUCCGUGCCAGCAGCCGCGGUAAUACGGAGGGUGCAAGCGUUAAUCGGAAUUACUGGGCGUAAAGCGUGUGUAGGCGGUUUGUUAAGUCUGUUGUGAAAGCCCCGGGCUCAACCUGGGAAUGGCAAUGGAUACUGGCAAGCUAGAGUGUGAUAGAGGAUGGUGGAAUUCCCGGUGUAGCGGUGAAAUGCGUAGAGAUCGGGAGGAACAUCAGUGGCGAAGGCGGCCAUCUGGAUCAACACUGACGCUGAGACACGAAAGCGUGGGGAGCAAACAGGAUUAGAAACCCUAGUAGUCC
Molecule: ribosomal RNA, 450 nt
Filed under: uncultured bacterium
Lineage: Bacteria
Description: bacterial SSU rRNA
Rfam family: Bacterial small subunit ribosomal RNA
Source: RNAcentral